UGAGGUCGGGGCUACGAGGAAUCGGAAGACGUGGAGACGAGCGUUGCGGGGCCUCCGUCGUGGACCAGCUCGUUCCCCGCAGGCUUGGAAGGAGGGCGAGGGAGAGGGGCACCGCUGCAGAGCAGCUCGACAGAGCUAAGGCGCGAAGACAUCACCGGAGGAGAAAAAGAAGUGAAGUCAGGUACAGAGGAUCCAUGAGGGUAUUUUGAAGGCCUAGAAGAUGGUAGAAGUAACCUGGGUAGAAGUAACAUGGGGCUUCUGAAUGAUGAUGGAAGAGAAACACCUCCCCCACCAAAUACAACAAUCUAUACUAGACUAUGAGAAAAAACCAAGAUGGCGGCAUAGGUAAACACCGGAAAUUGCUGCCUCCCAC
Myotis lucifugus (little brown bat) is the source of this 373-nucleotide long non-coding RNA. RefSeq lists it as uncharacterized. The transcript is spliced from 3 exons. The record is from RefSeq and is a predicted model, not a curated record. NCBI's taxonomy places the organism in Eukaryota, Metazoa, Chordata, Mammalia, Chiroptera, Vespertilionidae.